AGAGUUUGAUCCUGGCUCAGAAUCAACGCUGGCGGCGUGCCUCAGACAUGCAAGUCGAACGCGAAAGCCCCCUUCGGGGGGCAAGUAGAGUGGCGCACGGGUGAGUAACACGUAGGUAAUCUACCUUUGGAUGGGGAAUAACAACCGGAAACGGUUGCUAAUACCGCAUAAUGCAGCGGCACCUAAUGGUGACAGUUGUUAAAGCGGGGGAUCGCAAGACCUCGCGUCUGAAGAGGAGCCUGCGGCAGAUUAGCUAGUUGGUAAGGUAACGGCUUACCAAGGCGAUGAUCUGUAGCCGGCCUGAGAGGGCGGUCGGCCACACUGACACUGACAUACGGGUCAGACUCCUACGGGAGGCAGCAGUCGGGAAUUUUGGGCAAUGGGCGAAAGCCUGACCCAGCAACGCCGCGUGAAGGAUGAAAUCCCUCGGGAUGUAAACUUCGCAAGAACAGGAAGAAUAAGUGGGAGUUAAUAUCUCUCACGAUGACGGUACUGUUUGUAAGCUCCGGCUAACUCCGUGCCAGCAGCCGCGGUAAUACGGGGGGAGCAAGCGUUGUUCGGAUUUACUGGGCGUAAAGGGCGCGUAGGCGGCCACCGCAAGUCGACUGUGAAAUCUCUGGGCUUAACCCAGAACGGUCAGCCGAUACUGCGGGGCUAGAGUGCAGAAGGGGCAACUGGAAUUCUCGGUGUAGCGGUGAAAUGCGUAGAUAUCGAGAGGAACACCUGCGGCGAAGGCGGGUUGCUGGGCUGACACUGACGCUGAGGCGCGAAAGCUAGGGGAGCGAACGGGAUUAGAUACCCCGGUAGUCCUAGCCUUAAACGAUGAAUGCUUGGUGUCUGGGGUUUUAUAGUCCCCGGGUGCCGUCGCUAACGCUUUAAGCAUUCCGCCUGGGGAGUACGGUCGCAAGACUGAAACUCAAAGGAAUUGACGGAAGGGCGAAUUCC
Molecule: ribosomal RNA, 945 nt
Filed under: uncultured bacterium
Lineage: Bacteria
Description: bacterial SSU rRNA
Rfam family: Bacterial small subunit ribosomal RNA
Source: RNAcentral